RNAcentral lists this ribosomal RNA (253 nucleotides) under uncultured bacterium. Its description in RNAcentral is "partial 16S ribosomal RNA". It matches the Rfam family "Bacterial small subunit ribosomal RNA", at positions 524 to 776 of the family's 1533-position model. The record is from RNAcentral.
UACGUAGGGGGCUAGCGUUGUCCGGAAUCAUUGGGCGUAAAGGGUGCGUAGGCGGCGCGGUAAGUCGGGGGUGAAAUCUCGGAGCUUAACUCCGAAACUGCAUUCGAUACUGCCGUGCUUGAGGACUGGAGAGGAGACUGGAAUUUACGGUGUAGCGGUGAAAUGCGUAGAUAUCGUAAGGAAGACCAGUGGCGAAGGCGGGUCUCUGGACAGUUCCUGACGCUGAGGCACGAAGGCCAGGGGAGCAAACGGG